Drosophila gunungcola (fruit fly) is the source of this 490-nucleotide long non-coding RNA. RefSeq lists it as uncharacterized. The record is from RefSeq and is a predicted model, not a curated record. Lineage: Eukaryota; Metazoa; Arthropoda; Insecta; Diptera; Drosophilidae. The transcript is spliced from 2 exons.
UUUGGUCUGCACAUUAGAACCCAAAGCUAAUCUCACCAGGACAGCAUGCCUAAUCAAAGGGUAGGUCCACAGAGUAAGCUUAACAAACAAUAGUCAACCAAUUGAAAAGUUACUCAACUUUAAGGAAAAGCUUUUAACAAGGUACUGUCUAUAGUCAUAACAGAAUCUCUUACAUAUCUGGGUGUUUAACUCCCAAGUGUGGAAAUCAACAAAAGAUUGCUAAUAAGCAGAAUGGUAUCUUCCACAGAAAGGCGUACUAUUUCUUCUGCUAUGAAACAUUCGAAAGCAACGAAAUGCGAAGUUUCCCUAAGUACCGUGAACAUGAUCAACACAGCAGUAGUAUGACUUUUUCUAAGAAUAAUCGAAUAUCUGUUUAGCCAACAUUUCACGCCAUACUCGACGAUGGGACACUUGCCAGAAGAGCUGCUCCUCUAUCGAGAGCUCAAAUCAUUAUAGUGAGCAGCGCCGUUAGCACAGGCGUUAUCUUUGG